AACCUCCAGAUCCCUUACCCACCAGAUCCAAACACUGGUCUGAGUGGCUCUAAACGGAGGAAAGUAAAACCGAAAUGACUAGGAUUCUUUUGUGACAUACUAGUUCGUUUAAAAAAAAA
RNAcentral lists this small nucleolar RNA (119 nucleotides) under Echinops telfairi (small Madagascar hedgehog). RNAcentral describes it as "Small nucleolar RNA SNORA61 (ENSETEG00000023468.1)". The record is from RNAcentral. Lineage: Eukaryota; Metazoa; Chordata; Mammalia; Afrosoricida; Tenrecidae.